Oreochromis aureus is the source of this 1333-nucleotide long non-coding RNA. The record is from Ensembl. Lineage: Eukaryota; Metazoa; Chordata; Actinopteri; Cichliformes; Cichlidae.
UGGUGUAGCAUGGGUGUUCAGGGCUGUGUUUUCACUGCAUGGUCUGUUUAAACGCAAAGGGUGGAAGAGUUAAGGCACCAGGUGUUGCUGUGACUGACUUCGCUAAUCAUCUCAGGGGGAGCUGUACUCCGUUUUUCUGCUGGAUUAAUGCACUCUUUCUCUUCACUACGGAAAUGAUUCUGCGAUCAACGACCACUAUUGUCGUCGGUGAAAGUCCAGGUCUUUUUGCUGGGUUCAAAAGUGCUUUCCUUUUUUUCAGGAUGUACCAAACUGUAGGUUUCACCACUCCUAAUAUUGUAACAAUUUCUCAGAUGGGUUUUUUCUGUUGUCACAGAUUAAGAAUGGCUUGUUUCACCUGCAUGGAGAGCUCAUUUGACUGCAGGCAAUCUACUGAGAGCCAAAUCUUUCACAUACAUGUUUCUAUGUCUAAAUCUAAGCUGGCUCCAUAGAGACUGUUUAUCGUGUCCCUGAGCCCCUGAGUCUGAGUCUCCUAAGCCACCCAAGCCAGCUGAGCCCAAAGCUGAGCAUAUGUUUUCCAAACAUGUGCAUUUCGACUGUGAGACUGCCUCCUUGCAGAAAUGGAAAUUACACACUGAUUUAAGAAUGUUUUCUCAGAAUGAAUUUACCUGAGCUGUGAGAUAUAAGGCAGACAUUCAAGGAAACUCCUCACUUCACUCUCUUCAUGUGAGCAGCCUGUCAGCUUCACUUGUUUCUUCUCUGGUUGGAGUUUCAGCACUUCCAGGAGGAUGGAGGUCUUUCUCUCUGAGAGGUUUAUGGACCAGACUGCAGGAGCUGACUGGAUAACUGACUGUAAUGAUGUUUUUUGGAAUUUCUCCUGUGGUGUCAUGAGCCUGAGCCUGAGUGUGAGAGAGUGAGAGCACUCUGCACUUUGGACACUUUGGAUCUGCUGCCCAGAGUUCCUUUUCCCCCUGCACAUUGUUGAGAUUGUUGUAAAUAUUUUUGGCACUGUAAAUAAACACACUGUUGAGCUCCUCCAACUCUACGUCUGAAUCCACCCACUUGUUAGCCCUGACACUAAGGCUGCGUUCACACUGCAGGUCUUAAUGCUCAAUUCUGAUUUUUUGAUCAAAUCCGAUUUUUUUUGUCUGCUUGUUCACACUGCAAAUAAAAUGUGACAGCAAACGCGCUCUAGUGUGAACCCUCAAAGCGGCCCGCAUGCGCAAAAGAAGACGUCACAUACAACGUGCUCUGUUUAGACCCAGAGCAAACAACAUUGUUUGACUGAUGGCCCUUAAUAUAAAGACUUGUUUCGGACUUUACGUUUCCCAAUUUUGCUUUAAGUUGUAAAGUUAUUUUGUUAUUUACAUAUGGC